Molecule: microRNA, 23 nt
Filed under: Pristionchus pacificus
Lineage: Eukaryota; Metazoa; Nematoda; Chromadorea; Rhabditida; Neodiplogasteridae
Description: ppc-miR-8364f-3p
Source: miRBase by way of RNAcentral
AGACAGUGUGGAAAAUGAAGAGA